GUGCCAGCCGCUGCGGUAAUACGUAGGGUACGAGCGUUGUCCGGAAUUAUUGGGCGUAAAGAGCUCGUAGGUGGUUGGUCACGUCUGCUGUGGAAACGCAACGCUUAACGUUGCGCGUGCAGUGGGUACGGGCUGACUAGAGUGCAGUAGGGGAGUCUGGAAUUCCUGGUGUAGCGGUGAAAUGCGCAGAUAUCAGGAGGAACACCGGUGGCGAAGGCGGGACUCUGGGCUGUAACUGACACUGAGGAGCGAAAGCAUGGGAGCGAACAGGAUUAGAUACCCUGGUAGUCCAUGCCGUAAACGUUGGGCACUAGGUGGUGGGGACAUUCCACGUUCUCCGCGCCGUAGCU
Molecule: ribosomal RNA, 350 nt
Filed under: uncultured Brevibacterium sp.
Lineage: Bacteria; Bacillati; Actinomycetota; Actinomycetes; Micrococcales; Brevibacteriaceae
Description: bacterial SSU rRNA
Rfam family: Bacterial small subunit ribosomal RNA
Source: RNAcentral